Long non-coding RNA from Mercenaria mercenaria, 815 nucleotides. RefSeq lists it as uncharacterized. The transcript has 4 exons. The record is from RefSeq and is a predicted model, not a curated record. Lineage: Eukaryota; Metazoa; Mollusca; Bivalvia; Venerida; Veneridae.
ACUAGGAAGUAUUUCACUGGGUGCAUUUCAUUCUAUUUUAAAUCGCCGCUUUGCAUAAGUAAACAAAAAUGUCAGAUGGAUUUAAGUUGGUGUCUCUCUUUCUAAGUGAUCGGUUUGACAACUUCUUCAAGUCUUAUGCUUCGCCAAUAAAGGUAGCAUUUACAUUUGGGGCUGUCGUGGAUUUGUCGCAGGAGUGAUUGUUGGUUGCUUUGGACGAGAACUGUAUACACUAUUUAUUGCAGCCACAUCAGAUAAGAAUGAACAACAGACGGCGCAAAAUGUUGUAUCGGAUAAACAAAAGACGGCGCAAAACGUUGUAUCGAAUGAACAACAGACGGUGCAAAACGUUGUAUCGAAUGAACAACAGACGGUGCAAAACGUUGUAUCGAAUGAACAACAGAUGGAAAAACAGACGGCGCAAAAUCGAUUGAAUCGAUUGAACAAGAGACGGUACAACAGACGGCGCAAAACGGUGAAUCGAUUGAACAAGAGACGGUACAACAGACGGCGCAAAACGGUGAAUCGAUUGAACAAGAGACGGUACAACAGACGGCGCAAAACGAUGAAUCGAUUGAACAAGAGACGGUACAACAGACGGCGCAAAACGUUGAAUCGAUUGAACAAGAGACGGAACAACAGAACGGUACAACGGCAGUAAAGGACAUAAUUUCCUAUCUGAUACCUAUACUUACCGAAGAUGCCAGUUUGUUUCCCGAGCUAAAGACAUACUUGAACUGUCAAACAGAAAUAGAAGGAAAUGAUAUUAAAAAACUGAUGGAAGUUGUUAGCCCACGUUUGAUGCCAGACUACAAUAA